RNAcentral lists this ribosomal RNA (377 nucleotides) under uncultured bacterium. Its description in RNAcentral is "bacterial SSU rRNA". It matches the Rfam family "Bacterial small subunit ribosomal RNA", at positions 523 to 898 of the family's 1533-position model. The record is from RNAcentral.
AUACGUAGGGGGCAAGCGUUGUCCGGAAUUAUUGGGCGUAAAGCGCGCGCAGGCGGUCUCUUAAGUCUGAUGUGAAAGCCCACGGCUCAACCGUGGAGGGUCAUUGGAAACUGGGAGACUUGAGUGUAGGAGAGGAAAGCGGAAUUCCACGUGUAGCGGUGAAAUGCGUAGAGAUGUGGAGGAACACCAGUGGCGAAGGCGGCUUUCUGGCCUAUAACUGACGCUGAGGCGCGAAAGCGUGGGGAGCAAACAGGAUUAGAUACCCUGGUAGUCCACGCCGUAAACGAUGAGUGCUAGGUGUUAGGGGUUUCGAUACCCUUAGUGCCGACGUUAACACAAUAAGCACUCCGCCUGGGGAGUACGGCCGCAAGGCUGAA